GACCUCGGAUCAGGUAGGGAUACCCGCUGAACUUAAGCAUAUCAAUAAGCGGAGGAAAAGAAACCAACAGGGAUUGCCUCAGUAACGGCGAGUGGAGCGGCAAAAGCUCAAAUUUGAAAUCUGGCUCUUUCAGGGUCCGAGUUGUAAUUUGUAGAAGAUGCUUCGGGUGAGGUCCCGGUCUAAGUUCCUUGGAACAGGACGUCAUAGAGGGUGAGAAUCCCGUAUGUGACUGGGUACCUACGCUCAUGUGAAGCUCUUUCGACGAGUCGAGUUGUUUGGGAAUGCAGCUCAAAAUGGGUGGUAAAUUUCAUCUAAAGCUAAAUAUUGGCCAGAGACCGAUAGCGCGCAAGUAGAGUGAUCGAAAGAUGAAAAGCACUUUGGAAAGAGAGUUAAACAGUACGUGAAAUUGUUGAAAGGGAAGCGC
Molecule: ribosomal RNA, 424 nt
Filed under: uncultured fungus
Lineage: Eukaryota; Fungi
Description: eukaryotic LSU rRNA
Rfam family: Eukaryotic large subunit ribosomal RNA
Source: RNAcentral